GAUGAACGCUGGCGGCGUGCCUAAUACAUGCAAGUCGAGCGAACGGACGAGGAGCUUGCUCCUCUGACGUUAGCGGCGGACGGGUGAGUAACACGUGGAUAACCUACCUAUAAGACUGGGAUAACUUCGGGAAACCGGAGCUAAUACCGGAUAAUAUAUUGAACCGCAUGGUUCAAUAGUGAAAGACGGUUUUGCUGUCACUUAUAGAUGGAUCCGCGCCGCAUUAGCUAGUUGGUAAGGUAACGGCUUACCAAGGCAACGAUGCGUAGCCGACCUGAGAGGGUGAUCGGCCACACUGGAACUGAGCCACGGUCCAGACUCCUACGGGAGGCAGCAGUAGGGAAUCUUCCGCAAUGGGCGAAAGCCUGACGGAGCAACGCCGCGUGAGUGAUGAAGGUCUUCGGAUCGUAAAACUCUGUUAUUAGGGAAGAACAAAUGUGUAAGUAACUAUGCACGUCUUGACGGUACCUAAUCAGAAAGCCACGGCUAACUACGUG
This 497-nucleotide ribosomal RNA is filed under the name uncultured bacterium. RNAcentral describes it as "partial 16S ribosomal RNA". It matches the Rfam family "Bacterial small subunit ribosomal RNA", at positions 28 to 507 of the family's 1533-position model. The record is from RNAcentral.